CAGGCCUUAACACAUGCAAGCUCGAGGGGUAACGGGCAUCAGUGCUUGCACUGUUGUGCUGACGACCGGCGCACGGGUGAGUAACGCGUAUCCAACCUUCCCAUGAGUAGUGCAUAGCCCGGCGAAAGUCGGAUUAAUUCACUAUAUGUGGCAUUUCGGCAUCUUUAUGUCACGAAAGAUUCAUCGCUCAUGGAUGGGGAUGCGUCUGAUUAGGCAGUCGGCGGGGUAACGGCCCACCGAGCCAUCGAUCAGUCGGGGUUCUGAGAGGAAGGUCCCCCACACUGGUACUGAGACACGGACCAGACUCCUACGGGAGGCAGCAGUGAGGAAUAUUGGUCAAUGGGCGCAAGCCUGAACCAGCCAAGUAGCGUGCAGGACGACUGCCCUAUGGGUUGUAAACUGCUUUUGUACGGGGGUAAAGUGUGUCACUUGUGGCAUAUUGCAAGUACCGUACGAAUAAUGACCGGCUAAUUCCGUGCCAGCAGCCGCGGUAAUACGGAAGGUCAGGGCGUUAUCCGGAUUUAUUGGGUUUAAAGGGAGCGUANGCCGCCGGUUAAGCGUGUUGUGAAAAGCAGUGUCUCAACCACUGUCGUGCAGCGCGAACUGUCCGCUUGAGUAUCAUGAAAGG
RNAcentral lists this ribosomal RNA (628 nucleotides) under uncultured rumen bacterium. Its description in RNAcentral is "bacterial SSU rRNA". It matches the Rfam family "Bacterial small subunit ribosomal RNA", at positions 43 to 658 of the family's 1533-position model. The record is from RNAcentral.